RNAcentral lists this non-coding RNA (91 nucleotides) under Rossellomorea aquimaris. RNAcentral describes it as "Bacillus aquimaris Glycine riboswitch aptamer". It matches the Rfam family "Glycine riboswitch aptamer". Rfam says of the family: This family represents the bacterial glycine riboswitch. The record is from Rfam by way of RNAcentral. Lineage: Bacteria; Bacillati; Bacillota; Bacilli; Caryophanales; Bacillaceae. RNAcentral also lists the same sequence under 1 other name.
AUGAUAGCAAGGGGAGAGACUGUACCAUACAGCGCCGAAGGAGCAAACAUCAAUGUGUGAAUCUCUCAGGCAAAAAGACUCUUGCUGGACG